GAUGAACGCUGGCGGCGUGCCUAAUACAUGCAAGUCGAGCGAACAGACGAGGAGCUUGCUCCUCUGACGUUAGCGGCGGACGGGUGAGUAACACGUGGAUAACCUACCUAUAAGACUGGGAUAACUUCGGGAAACCGGAGCUAAUACCGGAUAAUAUAUUGAACCGCAUGGUUCAAUAGUGAAAGACGGUUUUGCUGUCACUUAUAGAUGGAUCCGCGCCGCAUUAGAUAGUUGGUAAGGUAACGGCUUACCAAGGCAACGAUGCGUAGCCGACCUGAGAGGGUGAUCGGCCACACGGGAACUGAGACACGGUCCAGACUCCUACGGGAGGCAGCAGUAGGGAAUCUUCCGCAAUGGGCGAAAGCCUGACGGAGCAACGCCGCGUGAGUGAUGAAGGUCUUCGGAUCGUAAAACUCUGUUAUUAGGGAAGAACAAAUGUGUAAGUAACUAUGCACGUCUUGACGGUACCUAAUCAGAAAGCCACGGCUAACUACGUG
RNAcentral lists this ribosomal RNA (497 nucleotides) under uncultured bacterium. Its description in RNAcentral is "partial 16S ribosomal RNA". It matches the Rfam family "Bacterial small subunit ribosomal RNA", at positions 28 to 507 of the family's 1533-position model. The record is from RNAcentral.